Molecule: ribosomal RNA, 482 nt
Filed under: uncultured bacterium
Lineage: Bacteria
Description: partial 16S ribosomal RNA
Rfam family: Bacterial small subunit ribosomal RNA
Source: RNAcentral
AUUGAACGCUGGCGGCAUGCUUUACACAUGCAAGUCGAACGGUAACAGGCCGCAAGGUGCUGACGAGUGGCGAACGGGUGAGUAAUGCAUCGGAACGUGCCCAGUCGUGGGGGAUAACUACUCGAAAGAGUAGCUAAUACCGCAUACGAUCUAUGGAUGAAAGCGGGGGACCGUAAGGCCUCGCGCGAUUGGAGCGGCCGAUGUCAGAUUAGUUAGUUGGUGGGGUAAAGGCUCACCAAGCCAACGAUCUGUAGCUGGUCUGAGAGGACGACCAGCCACACUGGGACUGAGACACGGCCCAGACUCCUACGGGAGGCAGCAGUGGGGAAUUUUGGACAAUGGGCGCAAGCCUGAUCCAGCAAUGCCGCGUGCAGGAAGAAGGCCUUCGGGUUGUAAACUGCUUUUGUACGGAACGAAACGGCUCUGGUUAAUACCCGGGGCUAAUGACGGUACCGUAAGAAUAAGCACCGGCUAACUACGUG